This 59-nucleotide ribosomal RNA is filed under the name Pseudozyma flocculosa. Its description in RNAcentral is "Anthracocystis flocculosa partial 18S ribosomal RNA". It matches the Rfam family "Eukaryotic small subunit ribosomal RNA", at positions 1774 to 1831 of the family's 1831-position model. The record is from RNAcentral. Lineage: Eukaryota; Fungi; Basidiomycota; Ustilaginomycetes; Ustilaginales; Ustilaginaceae.
UAGAGGAAGUAAAAGUCGUAACAAGGUUUCUGUAGGUGAACCUGCAGAAGGAUCAUUGU